RNAcentral lists this ribosomal RNA (505 nucleotides) under uncultured bacterium. Its description in RNAcentral is "partial 16S ribosomal RNA". It matches the Rfam family "Bacterial small subunit ribosomal RNA", at positions 28 to 507 of the family's 1533-position model. The record is from RNAcentral.
GACGAACGCUGGCGGCGUGCCUAAUACAUGCAAGUAGAACGCACAGUUUAUACCGUAGCUUGCUACACCAUAGACUGUGAGUUGCGAACGGGUGAGUAACGCGUAGGUAACCUGCCUGGUAGCGGGGGAUAACUAUUGGAAACGAUAGCUAAUACCGCAUAAUAUUAAUUAUUGCAUGAUAAUUAAUUGAAAGGUGCAAUUGCACCACUACCAGAUGGACCUGCGUUGUAUUAGCUAGUAGGUGAGGUAACGGCUCACCUAGGCGACGAUACAUAGCCGACCUGAGAGGGUGAUCGGCCACACUGGGACUGGGACACGGCCCAGACUCCUACGGGAGGCAGCAGUAGGGAAUCUUCGGCAAUGGACGAAAGUCUGAACGAGCAACGCCGCGUGAGUGAAGAAGGUUUUCGGAUCGUAAAGCUCUGUUGUAAGAGAAGAACGGGUGUGAGAGUGGAAAGUUCACACUGUGACGGUAUCUUACCAGAAAGGGACGGCUAACUACGUG